This 496-nucleotide ribosomal RNA is filed under the name uncultured bacterium. Its description in RNAcentral is "bacterial SSU rRNA". It matches the Rfam family "Bacterial small subunit ribosomal RNA", at positions 903 to 1397 of the family's 1533-position model. The record is from RNAcentral.
AAAGGAAUAGACGGGGGCCCGCACAAGCAGCGGAGCAUGUGGUUUAAUUCGAAGCAACGCGAAGAACCUUACCAGGGCUUGACAUCCCUCUGCCGGGUACAGAGAUGUACUUUUCCUUCGGGACAGAGGAGACAGGUGGUGCAUGGUUGUCGUCAGCUCGUGUCGUGAGAUGUUGGGUUAAGUCCCGCAACGAGCGCAACCCCUAUCUUCAGUUGCCAGCACGUAAAGGUGGGGACUCUGGAGAGACUGCCGGGGACAACUCGGAGGAAGGUGGGGACGACGUCAAAUCAUCAUGCCCCUUAUGUCCUGGGCUACACACGUGCUACAAUGGCCUGCAACAAAGGGAAGCGAAGGCGUAAGCCGGAGCGAAACUCAAAAACCAGGUCUCAGUUCGGAUUGUGGGCUGCAACCCGCCCACAUGAAGUCGGAGUUGCUAGUAAUCGCGAAUCAGCAUGUCGCGGUGAAUACGUUCCCGGGCCUUGUACACACCGCCCGU